GACGAACGCUGGCGGCGUGCUUAACACAUGCAAGUCGAACGGAAAGGCCCUGCUUUUGUGGGGUGCUCGAGUGGCGAACGGGUGAGUAACACGUGAGUAACCUGCCCUUGACUUUGGGAUAACUUCAGGAAACUGGGGCUAAUACCGGAUAGGAGCUCCUGCUGCAUGGUGGGGGUUGGAAAGUUUGGGCGGUUGGGGAUGGACUCGCGGCUUAUCAGCUUGUUGGUGGGGUAGUGGCUUACCAAGGCUUUGACGGGUAGCCGGCCGGAGAGGGUGACCGGCCACAUAGGGAGUGAGAGACGGCCCAGACUCAUACGGGAGGGAGGAGUGGGGGAGAUUGCACAAUGGGCGGAAGCCUGAUGGAUCAACGCCGCGUGCGGGAUGACGGCCUUCGGGUUGUAAACCGCUUUCGCCUGUGACGAAGCGUGAGUGACGGUAAUGGGUAAAGAAGCACCGGCUAACUACGU
This 467-nucleotide ribosomal RNA is filed under the name uncultured bacterium. RNAcentral's name for it is "partial 16S ribosomal RNA". It matches the Rfam family "Bacterial small subunit ribosomal RNA", at positions 28 to 506 of the family's 1533-position model. The record is from RNAcentral.